UGGGGAAUUUUGGACAAUGGGGGAAACCCUGAUCCAGCCAUCCCGCGUGUGCGAUGAAGGCCUUCGGGUUGUAAAGCACUUUUGGCAGGAAAGAAACGUCGCGGGUUAAUACCCCGCGAAACUGACGGUACCUGCAGAAUAAGCACCGGCUAACUACGCGCCAGCAGCCGCGGUAAUACGUAGGGUGCAAGCGUUAAUCGGAAUUACUGGGCGUAAAGCGUGCGCAGGCGGUUCGGAAAGAAAGAUGUGAAAUCCCAGAGCUUAACUUUGGAACUGCAUUUUUAACUACCGGGCUAGAGUGUGUCAGAGGGAGGUGGAAUUCCGCGUGUAGCAGUGAAAUGCGUAGAUAUGCGGAGGAACACCGAUGGCGAAGGCAGCCUCCUGGGAUAACACUGACGCUCAUGCACGAAAGCGUGGGGAGCAAACAGGAUUAGAUACCCUGGUAGUCCACGCCCUAAACGAUGUCAACUAGCUGUUGGGGCCUUCGGGCCUUGGUAGCGCAGCUAACGCGUGAAGUUGACCGCCUGGGGAGUACGGUCGCAAGAUU
RNAcentral lists this ribosomal RNA (547 nucleotides) under uncultured bacterium. RNAcentral's name for it is "partial 16S ribosomal RNA". It matches the Rfam family "Bacterial small subunit ribosomal RNA", at positions 355 to 895 of the family's 1533-position model. The record is from RNAcentral.